AUUGAACGCUGGCGGCAGGCCUAACACAUGCAAGUCGAGCGGAUGAAGGGAGCUUGCUCCUGGAUUCAGUGGCGGACGGGUGAGUAAUGCCUAGGAAUCUGCCUGGUAGCGGGGGAUAACGUCCGGAAACGGGCGCUAAUACCGCAUACGUCCUGAGGGAGAAAGUGGGGGAUCUUCGGACCUCACGCUAUCAGAUGAGCCUAGGUCGGAUUAGCUAGUUGGUGGGGUAAAGGCCUACCAAGGCGACGAUCCGUAACUGGUCUGAGAGGAUGAUCAGUCACACUGGAACUGAGACACGGUCCAGACUCCUACGGGAGGCAGCAGUGGGGAAUAUUGGACAAUGGGCGAAAGCCUGAUCCAGCCAUGCCGCGUGUGUGAAGAAGGUCUUCGGAUUGUAAAGCACUUUAAGUUGGGAGGAAGGGCAGUAAGUUAAUACCUUGCUGUUUUGACGUUACCAACAGAAUAAGCACCGGCUAACUUCGUG
RNAcentral lists this ribosomal RNA (484 nucleotides) under uncultured bacterium. RNAcentral's name for it is "partial 16S ribosomal RNA". It matches the Rfam family "Bacterial small subunit ribosomal RNA", at positions 30 to 507 of the family's 1533-position model. The record is from RNAcentral.